AUUCUCACAAUUACUCUUUCAAAAGCAAACUUCAGGAAGGUAAUCUCACCGCGAGUUUGGGCACCUGCUGAGCUGUCCACGUUAAGCAAUGGGUCAGCGGCGGCGUGGGAAAUCCGGGGAAGAAGCCAGUGGCCGAGAGACAACAGACCGCGUGAGGCAGCGACAGUACGAGGCACGCCACCUAGCCUGCAGAGAGGGUCAUCUGCACACCAACAGGGUUUGCGACAAUGUCUAGACCUUCAUUCUAACAGAUGCAACCUUAAAGAGUGCUGAGAUUCAAGAAACACUGAGCAAGAUGGGUCUCGAUGCCGUGGUGGCCGCCUGCUACGUCUUUCUAGUACUUGUCUCUGUGCUCACAGUUCGCUUCUUCUACGUACUGUGGCACAGUGGCCAACCAGAGUCAAGGUUGUGCACCACCAGAUUGCGUUGUCUCAAUGUCCUUGGCUCCGGUGAGUACGUAUUGCAGUCUUGCCUGUCAAAUACCUUAUGGACAAGUUUUAGAUAUGGUUGCCUGGUAUAUAAAACGGUACUCAUACGUGUAAGCUCAUACGGUACUCAUACGGCAAAUAAAAACAUUCUCAAUCUGGGUAGUAAAAUUGUCUAUAAAUAAAAACAUUCUAAAUCUACUAAAGAAAAGGUCCAGAUUACCAGCUCCGGGUGAUGCUGAUGAGCUAUCUGUCAUUGAAGACCAAAUUGCAUGGAUUGUUCACAUAAUUACAUCCAUUGUCAAGUAAGUCAGGUAACAGGUGUUAGGUGAGCAAUAUAUUUUUUCUUUUAUUUGUAAAUUUUGUUCUUUUAAAUGUUGUCCUUGCUUGCUCUACAUAUAUGCGAUUCAGGAAGAGCCCGCAGAGAGGUCGAGGAGCAGCACUAGUUGUUUCUCUAACGUUGAUCAAGGCAAGCACAUCAAGGGGUCUCGGGCACCUCCCUCUCAUUGGUGUUGUCGUUGAACUAGUUAUGGUACAUUGGUAUGGCUGCAAAUUGAGAGAGAAAGACCUGGAAACAGUGAUGCAGCAUGUUCACACGAAGAUGGCAACAAUGGUAACAUUUGCAUUGGUCCUGUAAAUAAGGUAAAUUGAGGGCUAAGAUUGCUUGUUGAACCUUAUAAAAGGAGGUGUAGUUUUAUUUAUCCUAUUCUUGCUGCAGCCAUCACAAGGUCAGAUGCUAGCAACUUUAAUAGAUUUAUUUACUCUCUUAGAAGAAAAGGCCAAGAUGUUUGAGAUUUUAGUGCUUCAUUUAACUUUCAGCUUGUGUUGUCUUAGCUUACUAUGGCAUUAACCCACUACUCUCCUGAAUUGUCAUGUGAUCUGUAUCAUGUAUUCAUGAAAAAUGCAUUUUAUACUACAAGCACUUGUGGUUUUGAUAACUAUAUCCAGUUAUGAAAUCCACAACCCUUUGUUGUAUCAUGUAUUCAUGAAAAAUGCAUUUUAUGCUACAAGCACUUGUGGUUUUGCUAACUAUAUCCAGUUAUGCAAUCCACAACCCUUUGUAAUAGUGUAGGAUUAUGCCAAACAAGACAUUGGUUGAAUGAUAUGUUCAAACUAUUCAAAUGUUUUCUCUUUGUAACAGUUUGUGAUAUUGGAAUGAUAUGUUCAAUCCACAGUCCUUUGUUUGGGAUGGAUUUCUUUAUCUUGACUCUUGAGUAUAGUGUAUUUCUGACUAUCAUUUGUCAAUUUUGUUGACUUUUAUGCUCAUAACUUGAGAAACUUUUAUUAUAAGUGUACACUGUGUUUUAUUUUUUAAUGUUGUUUGACUGAUUACUGUAAGGAAUCUUGUGUAGGUAUUGAAUAUGCUUGCUUGAUGGACUAAAGAUCCAAACUCGAAUACCUUCUAACUUCAUAAGUUCAUAUCCCACGAGUCUGAUUACUUGUGGCUUGCUGAAGAUGACAUGAAGAUGCAGGAAGCUAAAAUUGAAAAGAUGAAAUAUGAGCAUCUGACGAGGGAGGCUGCUUUGGCAGAGAAGGAGCUUCUUGAAGAGGAGUACAAGAAAAAGUUUGAUGAGGCAAAGAAGGAACUAUCUCUGGAGAAUGAUCUAGCAGGCAUGUGGGUUCUUGUUGCUAAGUUGAAAAGAGGGGCUUUAGACAUAUCUGAUUUGAAUGUUGAUGAUUGAACUAAAGUGUAAGGGCGUACCGAUCACCACAUUGUUGUCUCAUAAUUGGUGUUAAUGAAAAUAACAUGGUGCUACACGGAAUCUCUACUUUCUCUUGUAAGAAGGAUUGUUUGUCAGCAUAAUUUGAUUUGCAUGUAAAAUGUCUUCAUGCUUUACUUGCCCUUUUGUGAAAUGUGGCGAUCGGUCCUCUUGCCUUCCUUUUCUGUUUCUGUUCUGCGGUAGAAUGAUUGGAGUAGAUUAUAAGUAUGGUGCUAAUUUCAUAUAAAUAAUAAUAAUUGUUGCUAAUUUAUGGUCAAGUUAGUAGGAUAAUAAUUUAGUCCCCAGAACAAAAUGUAUUGUUAAGUCUUAGCAAAAGAUUUAAAUUGGGUGCCAUGUCUGUGUGGAUGCAAAAAAAUGACAACUUUCUGCUUCGUGCUAGCUUGCGCGCCGUGGUGGUGCAGUGCAUUUGUGCCUAGAAGAAGCGGAUGGCGACGAAGGCGCUACAGGGUAGCGACAGUUAUGUGCCUUGUUUUCAUAAUUAUUGUCGUUGUAACGCAUGAGCACCAUACUAGUUCUCUUUUAAUUCUUCAAAGUUCAAAUUUCAAUCUUACCAAGUUAAAACUUAAAAAUAAAUUUCUUAAAUCAGUGCACAAACCCAGAACCCCAACAUGAUGCAUAGUUUUAUAUGUUUACUUAAUAUGUAUUUAAAAACAGGAACUAUGUUCCACAAAUAAAAUAUUACCAUAAUUUCUCACUUUGUUUUCUCGAGGAGUCAAUUAGUACCUUAAUACUAUGCAUAGUUUUAUGUACAUACAUUUAAGGGUUUACACCUAGGCUAGAGCUUGGCGAAUUGUGAUGUUAGGCAUUUUGUGAAGGAGAAUAAUUCUGGGUAAGUGAGUUUUGGUAACUGACUAUUCCAAAUAUCUCCUCAGUGCUUUACGGUCUGCCCUCCUCCAACUUUUACUAUUGCAAGACCUUUAUACCCAUCAAUCAACUUCACAAUAUCUUUCCACUAGAAUGAACCCUUUCUAUGAUCUCCUGGUAGCCUACCAUUAUGAUAAUAGUCAUCCCAUAUCAGAGUGACCCAUGGUAUAUAUGUCUUGUUAAAUAACUUAUCCAAAUGCCACAUGAGAAGAGCAUCAUUUCGCACUUGUAUCUUCAAAAUUCCAAGCCCCCCUUCAGAUUUUGGCUUUGUAAACAUGGACCAAGCUGCCAUUGUAGACUUCCUUGCAUUGAUAUCUCAUCCUCUCCAUAGACAAUUCUUUCGGUAUUUGUCAAUUUUUUAAUGAUUGUUUUGGCAGCUUCAUAGAGCCCAUGUAAUAACUUGGCAGCGAUGAGAGUUGACUAUUUGUAAUUUUCGAGCUUGUGACGGAAACAAGGAGGUGCAAGUCAACCUUUUUUAUCCUGUUGACCAUAGGUAGAAAAUCUUGGAUUCUUGGUUUCGUAGUUCGAAGAGGAAGCCCAAGCUAAGUGAAUGGGAAAGAUCCAUUAUGGCAAUUAAAAGUCUUAAAUAGAAGGUCCAUUUUUCUGUAGAGACAUUUAUGGGAUAAAUAUUUGAUUUUGCAUAGUGUGAAUACAUGGACUUGUUAAAUACUUUUGGUCUAAUAACCAACACCAUGCUAUGAAAAAUACUUUGGGAUACUACAAAUUUCAAAAACUCACAAAUAUAUAAAAUAAAAAUAAUUUUGUCAUCCAUAAAGGUACAUACUAAAAUUUUGCAUUGAAGUGUCACAAAAUAUAUAAAUUCAAUAGUUUAAAAUAUUAGUUAUAUUGAAGUAGUGAAGAUAAAAUAGCAGCAUGGAUUCAAUACCAUUAAACAUUACUAAAAAACAUAUUGCAUUAAGUUACAAAAUAAUGUUGCAAACUAGCGGAACAUGUGACAUUCAAGAAAUGGAGUAUGCUGUGCUAGGGAUGGUGAAGAGGUAGGUGUACACAAUAUAUCAAAUCUAGAAAAUUAAUGUACAAAUCUCCCUAGAUAGCAUUAUUUAGUAGUAUAAAUUAAAUAAUAUGUACCAAAUAUAUUAUUAUAUUUUGACAACGGUUCAUUUAUUCCUUUAAGGAUGCUUUGACCAGUCUAGUAUCUUCUGUCCUGCUUUGACCAGUCUUGUAUCUUCUCUCCUGAUUUAUGCCCCAAGAGACCUUUAAAUUCCACAAUAGCUUCUAUUGAGGCCACUCAUAGUUAGAGCCAUCGAUAAAAAAAACUCCAAAGCUCAAGUUGUUCGGUCACCAAGUUCGACCUGCCGCCGCCCUUACCGGAGAUCCCACCGCACAACAACAAUUCUAAAAUAUUCUUGUGUGCUUUGGACAACUCACGAAAUCAAAGGUAUACUUAUGUGGAGUAAAUUCAAAGUAUAUAUUUUGCAUAUUUUAGAAGUCCAUGAUUUCAUCUAAUUUUAGAGAUCUAGUUUCUCGAGAAAAGAGAUCCCUUGUGCAACUAGUUGCUCUAUUUUCUUAUGUGUCUUAAGAGAGAUAUUUAAAAACUAUUAUUCAACCGAGUUCUACCUCAGAUCCGCUCGUCCUCAUUUGAAUGCAUCAACAUAACAUGGCAAGACAACACACUCCUGAAGUACGUCCAUGUUACAGUAUAAUAAGGACUAAACCACGAAUUACAUAUUUCGUUAACACUGACAUUCUACAAUAAGCUAAAUCCAUAUAUAGGUGCUCGUGAUCUUGAAUUGCUGGUAUCUGAGAAAAAAUACUAUUUAUUUCUAAUAUUAUUAAUUUUUAGAACCAUAAGCAGAGGCAUUGGGUUCACCUUGGCAUCAAAAAAAUAUUUUCGUACUAUGUAAAACAUGUUGGAAAGGAAAACUUAUUGCUUCAUCCUGUCUCAUGUGUACCUGGCAUGCUAGUAACCAGCAAGAUCUUCCUUCUGUAUGUUUUUAUCUUGUUUUUCCUGCUUUUCCAAGUGCAUUGGCUGCUGCCUGCUCCUAGGUUGUCUUCUGCUUUGAAAUUAUUGACAAUCUCCCGUUCUAUCCAUAUAUGUUACUACAACUGUUUCAAAGC
Molecule: RNA transcript, 5089 nt
Organism: Zea mays
Lineage: Eukaryota; Viridiplantae; Streptophyta; Magnoliopsida; Poales; Poaceae
Gene name: cycloartenol synthase pseudogene
Exons: 5
Source: RefSeq, a predicted model, not a curated record